ACGUGUCCAUCUCACUCCAAACCUCACCAGGAAAACUCAGUGUGAUGAAAUGAAAAAGGUUUACCAGGAAAUCAAAGAGAAUGCAAAAGAAAAGAAAAGAAACAAACCAAAAGCAAAACAAAAAUGAAACGAAACAAAACAUCUAUAAAACAAAAUACAAAAUAAGAGCCCUAGGUCUUUACAGCCUCAUCUCUGAAGCCGUACUGCAUCUUAAAGCCUAUCUACCUCUCUGAAGGGACUUACCACAAGUGUGCAGCACAGGAACUUGUUCAUUGUGGUCGGUGGAAGAAACCUCAGCGAGCUGGGAAAUCAGGCAGAGAGUCAGCUAGUGUGCUCCAGCCUCCUAGCAGCCUGCUUACAUCCCUCAACAUUAAAGACACGAUAUAUAUAUAGUCCCGGUGUAACAGGAAGCUUUGGCUCAGCUUUGAUCACUCAUUCCCUACCAUGACCAAACUUUUCUCUCUCUCUCUCUCUCUUUUUUUUUUUUUUUUUUUUUUUAAGGAACCUGUAAAACUUGAUGACUUAAUGGAACCCUUUGAGUGCUGUUAACCACAGACUGGAAAAUGAGGAGGGAGUGUCAGGGGCUGGCCAGGGGAGGGUUUAAUUGGGCUCUUGUCUGUCUGUCUGUCUGUCUAUCCCUCCCCCCCCCCUUUUUUUUUUCUCCCCUACGCAGCUGGCUUGGCAGGGAGACACGUGCCUCCAGGACAACACGUCUCAGCAACCAGGCUUAUAGGGCACUUGUUUAAAAAAUCACUGCUGGCAGCCGAGCUGUGGGCUCUGCAGCCCCACAGCCAGCUCUCACAGGGGGCCUGGAGCUCACCCAGGGCUGCCAUUUCUUGCAGAUCCCGUGGGCCCCUUUCUGCCCAACUCCCCAGGGAUUUCCAGGAGAGAGGCUGGCUGGGAAACAAAGGUCUGGAGAACUGCCAUAGGGCUUUGCCCCAUUAG
This 945-nucleotide long non-coding RNA is filed under the name Anas platyrhynchos platyrhynchos (common mallard). RNAcentral's name for it is "lncRNA (ENSAPLG00000025288.1)". Lineage: Eukaryota; Metazoa; Chordata; Aves; Anseriformes; Anatidae. The record is from RNAcentral.